ACUUCCGAAUGCUCUAGAUUAAGUUUGAUCAUUGCUCAGAAUCAACGCUGGCGGCGUGCCUAACACAUGCAAGUCGAACGCGAAAGCCCCGCAAGGGGUAAGUAGAGUGGCAAACGGGUGAGUAACACGUGGGUGACCUGCCUUCGAGCGGGGGAUAACGUCCCGAAAGGGUCGCUAAUACCUGCAUGACAUCCUGCCUUUGAACAUGGCGGUGAUCAAAGCUGGGGAUCGCAAGACCUAGCACUCGAAGAGGGGCCCUGCGCCUGAUUAGCUAGUUGGUGGGUGUAACGGCUCACCAAGGCAACGAUCAGUAUCCGGCCUGAGAGGGCGGACGGACACACUGGGACUGAGACACGGCCCAGACUCCUACGGGAGGCAGCAGUGGGGAAUUGUUCGCAAUGGGCGCAAGCCUGACGACGCAACGCCGCGUGGAGGAUGAAGAUCUUCGGGUCGUAAACUCCUUUCGAUCGAGACGAGCGGCCUCCGGGUGAACAAUCCGGAGGAGUGACGGUACCGAGGAGAAGAAGCCCCGGC
RNAcentral lists this ribosomal RNA (534 nucleotides) under uncultured bacterium. Its description in RNAcentral is "bacterial SSU rRNA". It matches the Rfam family "Bacterial small subunit ribosomal RNA", at positions 1 to 497 of the family's 1533-position model. The record is from RNAcentral.